Molecule: non-coding RNA, 1108 nt
Organism: Cucurbita pepo subsp. pepo (vegetable marrow)
Lineage: Eukaryota; Viridiplantae; Streptophyta; Magnoliopsida; Cucurbitales; Cucurbitaceae
Source: RefSeq, a predicted model, not a curated record
GUCCAUUCAGCCCUACUCCUACGCUCCACCGCUUCACCGAUUCCUCUCUCCCGCCAUGGCCAUGGAGCUCUCUGCAUCCCGACCCAUUUCUAACCUACCACUUUUCUCUACUGUUCUCGCCGGAAACCCGCAGCUCCGUCCGAGGCACUCUCUUCCUCUCAGAAUCGCCAUAGUCUCCCGCUCUACUCGUAGCCUUCACUUCCGAUGUCGUCCUUUUUCUGUUUCGUUGCCAAGAGCAGCAGCCUCUGAUGAUUCAAAUGGUUAUCGACCAUUCAUUACUGAAGAACGGGAUGGUGCGAUAAUCUUGGAAGAUUCUCCUGCUGAGAAGCUCCCAUCCGACGAAAUGGCGUCAUCAGAAGAACCAGUUGAGGGUGCGCAAGAACAGGCGUUCGAUUUAUGGAACGGUCUUCAAUUCGAGUCUGUUGAUGUAUACAAUCUUAUCCUAUAUGGUUCUGGUGCUUUUUUGGGCCUUUGGUUGGUUUCAGCCAUUGUUGGUGCUAUUGAUUCCAUCCCAGUGGUUCCUAAGCUGUUGGAAGUUGUGGGGCUUGGUUACACAGUAUGGUUCACAGCUCGCUAUUUGUUAUUGAAGGAAAGUAGAGAUGAAUUGGCUGCUAAGAUCGAUGAGUUAAAGGACCAGGUUGUUGGUUCGGAUUGACGUCGGAUUUGGAAAGAGAACGAGAAUGAUUGUAAAUCUUUCACAUGUUCAAUAACACAAGAGUAGGCUUUUAUGCAAUGGGAAUAAGGGAUGAGAGUGAUGGAUUUUUCUUCUAGGAGAUGGGAUUUCUUAUGGAGAUGCUUUUUUACUAUAGAGGUGGUGGAGGUUUAAUCGGUUGGUCGAGUCGUGGUAGCUUUGGGAGUAAAAGUAUUCAGCCUUCUAUGAAACCAUUUAGAUGUUAGAGUUGGGUUUGUGUUCUCACCAUUUCUUUUCACGUUUUCAUUUCAUUGAAGGGAGAGAAAAUCUUCACUGUUAAGAGACGUCAAAAACAAUCAAAAGUAUUGGGAAAAAGAUGGAAAUCUGUCAAACAAGCCUCUUCCUCUGUUUCCCUUUUGACCAAAUCUCUUACCUCUUGUCGGUUUGUUGUUCAUGUAUUGAUUUUUAUUUGCUUUC